UUGGUGCAGGGGAGGGUGUGUAUUUCAUGGGAAGGUGCAGCUAAAACGGUUUUGGUCCCGAUGGACCUCCUAUGACCUUCGCUGGCGCUGUAAAUAAUUAAUAUCCAUUCAUUCAGACAGAUAUGCAGAACGGAAACCCAAUACAAGCAACUGCAGGCGCUACUACUGCAAUUGUUUUGCAACAUUUUAUUAUCAUCGCUUCAAAGAAUGUGUGGAAAUGAGCUAACAGCUUGUUUUUGAGCGCGCUCAGUGCGGCCCUCACUUCCAACUUCAGGCCAGAGGGGUGGUAACCAUAGCUACCUGGUCCUAUAGAACCCUGACAAAGAGGAAACACAACAAAAGCAUGGCAUGGCCCACCCUGCCUCUCUUCCGCCCAGCCCCCUGACACACUCCCCUGUUCCGACCCACUCGUACUCUGAAAGAGAGGAACAGAGGGAGGGAUCAGGGAUGGAGGGAUGACAUGGGAGGAGGGAAGAGUUCAGCGAUCCUCAGGCUCAGGUCUUCCCAGUGCAUGAUGGGUAGGUCCUGGUCGUCCUCGGAGGACUCUCCAUUCUGAUGAAGUCGCCCUGCCCCUUCCCCAGCAAACGGCUGUGUCUCAUCACUCUCCUUCUCC
Molecule: long non-coding RNA, 613 nt
Organism: Salmo salar (Atlantic salmon)
Lineage: Eukaryota; Metazoa; Chordata; Actinopteri; Salmoniformes; Salmonidae
Source: RefSeq, a predicted model, not a curated record